UUCGAUGCACAUCAUGAAAUGCUUCAUCAAGACAAAGCAGUGGAAUGUCUUGAACCUCAACAAAAUAAUUUUUACAUGUCAGAUGGACUCUGGUAUCGAAGCAGAUGUCAACUGUGGCUUCUCUCCAUCGAAAACCGAUGCCUGGCAACUUGGAGACUAAUUACUCGGCUGACGGAGUUUUUGGCUGUUCUGUGGCAUGUAAUGCAAUCAGCAUGGAAGCAUCGUUGGUCGUUGUAGAUUUUGAGUAAGAUUUCUCACCCUCUGCUCAUGAUGGCAGUGGUGACCAGCUCAGCUGUGUUGGAUGGUAUCGUGGCCAUUGAGGCUCUGCUCACCUGGAUCAGCGGUGAGUUUGAGGACUGCAGAGCUGGCGGGUGGGUGUCUGCACAGAGUGGGUGUAGGAAGGCAGCUGUCGCCGUCUGGGGGGAUGUUCUGGCUU
Non-coding RNA from Meleagris gallopavo (turkey), 436 nucleotides. NCBI's taxonomy places the organism in Eukaryota, Metazoa, Chordata, Aves, Galliformes, Phasianidae. The record is from RefSeq and is a predicted model, not a curated record.